UGCCAUAUUUAUAGUUUUCAGGGAUUCC
Molecule: non-coding RNA, 28 nt
Filed under: Mus musculus (house mouse)
Lineage: Eukaryota; Metazoa; Chordata; Mammalia; Rodentia; Muridae
Source: RNAcentral